RNAcentral lists this ribosomal RNA (253 nucleotides) under uncultured bacterium. RNAcentral's name for it is "partial 16S ribosomal RNA". It matches the Rfam family "Bacterial small subunit ribosomal RNA", at positions 524 to 776 of the family's 1533-position model. The record is from RNAcentral.
UACAGAGGGGGCAAGCGUUGUUCGAAAUUACUGGGCGUAAAGGGCGCGUAGGCGGCCUUCUAAGUCGAACGUGAAAUCCCUGGGCUCAACCCAGGAACUGCGUCCGAUACUGGAAGGCUUGAAUCCGGGAGAGGGAUGCGGAAUUCCAGGUGUAGCGGUGAAAUGCGUAGAUAUCUGGAGGAACACCGGUGGCGAAGGCGGCAUCCUGGACCGGUAUUGACGCUGAGGCGCGAAAGCCAGGGGAGCAAACGGG